This is a long non-coding RNA of Solanum pennellii, 889 nucleotides long. RefSeq lists it as uncharacterized. The transcript has 2 exons. Lineage: Eukaryota; Viridiplantae; Streptophyta; Magnoliopsida; Solanales; Solanaceae. The record is from RefSeq and is a predicted model, not a curated record.
AUUUAAUAGAAGAGAAAUACCCUACAAUAUUCUUCUAUCAUAUUCUUAAAUAACAACCGAUACCCAAAGCCCCCCUUUUUUUUUGCUGACAACCUGGCAGAACAAUCAUCAACAAUCCCCAAACAACCUCCCUCAUGCCAUUGAAAACCAGAAACCGAUGUUUUCCAUCACCAAAAAACCACCGCUCAACCCACUGCUCCACCAAUAAACAACAAAACAAACCCCAAAUCGCUUCUAUUUUCAUUUACCAAACAUCCCCUCCACCCCCCACCAUUUUUUUUGAGGAAGCAAGGAGCUUCGAGUUCGCACAACGAAGCCAUCAAUGGAGAACAAAACUCAGAAAACUGGAGUGCGCCGCCAGAUCCAAAAUGGUAAACUAGCAACUUUGUCAAAUCUUUCACUUUAAGAUUCACUCGGAAAAGAAAAUAUUCGAGAGCUUGCAGAACAUAUAUCAUAAAGGCGGGACAGCAGAACGAAGUGUUGAUCUUCCUUCACAUGUAGGGCCUUCUGCUAUGGAUGAGUAAAAACCAUUUGUUAUGCAGAUCCUGAUUUUAACAGUUUUGACAAGGAAAAGGAUGAGUCAUUCUUUACGGUAGGGAAUGUAUUGGAUGCCUAUGAUACCUUGGAUUCCAUCCAUAGAUCUAUGCAAUCAUUAGGAAGAUUUCUUCUCCUGAAAUUGAAUUGUGUAUAACAUGGUCAUAUCUAGAGCUGCUCAAUGAAGAGGAAAUCAGGGCUUUGCAGCGUCUUGUGCUAGGUGUAGACUAGGAAACGCGGAAGACAUAGAAGAUCAUCCUAUGCGGUCACAUUUGAUAUAUGCCAUGAAUGGAAACAACUACGAUGUAAUAAACAUAUUUCCAUUGGAAGGAGAAACUUGGGUCCUCAUUAAAAA